UCUUGUUCAUGAAAGUUGCAAAGACCCGUGCAGUGGCAGCCAUAAGAUGCUGAAUCAUCUCCUCCCUUCCGACCAAAGUAAAAUAAUCUCCGAAGUCCGUCUGUAAACACGGCUGCCCACCGUUGUCCACAAGAGGCAACUUGUAGCCUGGCACCCUCCUCGCCGGCAUUCCGUGAAAAACCCUUGCAUCCUCCAGUUGUUUCGUGUAUACAUCCAGCAACCUCGACACUACAACACAAACUUGUCAGUAGUAGAAGCAAAAAGUAAAAGACGCCAAAAACGAUAGCCACAGUAUACACCAACACAUUAAGCAGAAAACCAUACGAAGAGACCAUGAUGCCACAGAUGCCGAGAACCCAGGUAACACGUUCUACAAGCUACACAAGACGCCAUGUCGACAGCCACCAACAAAGGCAACAGCCGAUCACAAUCACACAGACACCAUAGCCCCAGCUAUAGCCGCACUAGCACCACGACAAGUAAAACGCCAAGUUGCAGCCAAGUCGUGGUUUUGCUCAGCAAGUGCUUACCUGGCGCAGCUUGAAGGGUUAUCGGCGGGGCCUCUGAAACAGAAAUAUAAACUUGUCAGUACUCGGCAAUAGCCAGCGGGGCAAGCACAAAACAGCGCGAAUAGCCCAUGCGAGGAGGCAAAAACAGAAGAAACGAUCAAAGCAGACUCCUAAGAGACCAAGAUUCCAGCAGAACGAGCACAUCCCAGGCACCAAAUACACACCAAAAUGCUACGUACGUGUAGGAGCCUUUGUUGCCCGAAUAGUAUGAGAAGAUCCAGGCACAUACGUAGACCUGCUCAGGCCGUCUUCCCCUGCCUGUAGACGUCUCCACCUGACCCUCCCUUGCUCAUAGCGCUUCACACUGAUAAAGACAGCCGAGAACUCCUGGAGAACAUCAUUUACUGCCACUCUACCAUCGUUAAGGUAAAACUCGCAACCUUCUGCC
Molecule: long non-coding RNA, 957 nt
Filed under: Selaginella moellendorffii
Lineage: Eukaryota; Viridiplantae; Streptophyta; Lycopodiopsida; Selaginellales; Selaginellaceae
Description: long non-coding RNA (SMOE_LNC002158)
Source: RNAcentral